AAGGGUUUUCGAAUCCUUGUUGGUCGAGGUCAUCUCAUUAGCCUUCUCGGCGAGGUGAGGUGUCACAGUUAUUACAUUCGGCACAUUGCAAGCCGAAUUCGGUUCGUGAACUUUGUAAGAAAUAGCAGCCUUGUCUUCAGGCUCGAGAACCCAAGAGGCCGAGACGUGUUCCUUUCUCGGCCGCAAUCGCAAGACGCAGAAGUCAGUAGCGUGACCCAACGCAGCAUCAUCAAAUUUACUCCUCGGCCGAGCCUCGGCCGACGAGUUGGCACGCCCCGCAAUCACCGAAGGACGUAGUUAGCUUAGAAUAUACUCGGCCUGCGCGCCACGUAGGCUUUGUAGUUUCUAGGGUCAACAGCAGUACAAGUUGAAACUUUGGCCCCUUAAGAAUAUUCAAAAUCCUCCUAAUCCUUUUUAAUAUUGUCUUAUCCUUUUAGUGGAGAUCAAAUACAAAAUCUUUAACUUUAAUAUGGAGAAGAGAUGCUAUGGGAUUAUAGAGGCUAAGCAAAGAUAAUCAUAACUACCCAAGUUUGUUUUUUUUUAUUUUUUUUUAUAUUUUGUUGUUUAUUAGAACCACCUAAUUUUGCUUAAGUUAGUGAAGCUAGCUCCGGUUUUUUGUAUCGAAUCGCCUAAGAAAAUGGAAAAUAAAUUGGUUGCAAACUUGUUAUUUAUGAUAUUUAAAAUUAAAACAUAUUACUUACCGAUGAAGAGUAAUAUUAUUAAACCGUAAUAUUAAAUCACAGCUAGCUUAGGUUUUCUAUAUUGUAAAACUUUUGAGCCUAUGUGACGAUUCAAAGUGCUAUGUUUCCACCACCAUAUUUUUAUUUUUUUUAUCCAACAAAAAACCAAGCCCAUGUUUUACUUUCCUUAUCAACUUUCCAAGAAGCCCAACCGUGCUUUGAGCCCUCAUGCGUUUCUUCUGCCUACCAAGAAGCCCAAUCAAUGUGCAUAAACAACCCAUAACUUCUGAAUAAGUCUCAUGUGUCGUAACACACAUGAAAACUAUAUAAUCUCUCAAGAGUCGAGUCAAGUCAAUUUCGGCAAAUAUCCUUUUAUUAUAAGCGAAAUAUUAUCGGUAUUUCAAAAAUCUCAUUGUACACUCUUUAUAAAUGUAUUUUUCUUUUCUAAUAUAUAAAGUUUGGAAUACUAAUAAUAAUUUCCUACUCUAAAAAUGAGUUGAAUCUAUUAUUUGACAAACAAAAAAAAAAAAAAAAAAAAAAAAGAGUCGCGUCAGUUUCGCAGCACUAUAAUCGCUCACAGAUCCCUUCCUUUUCUACAAUACCUGGACAAAAAGGCAUACAGAAGAACCGAUCAUGCAUGCGUGGCUCCCCCAAUAUUUUAUAUGCUGACUCGUCAGUCCCCACACGGUUCAGAAGAACCGAUCAUUACAUGC
RNAcentral lists this long non-coding RNA (1393 nucleotides) under Malus domestica (apple). Its description in RNAcentral is "long non-coding RNA (MDOM_LNC001420)". Lineage: Eukaryota; Viridiplantae; Streptophyta; Magnoliopsida; Rosales; Rosaceae. The record is from RNAcentral.